CAACUGCGUUUCCCACUCCAGUCAGCAGACGGCGAUUUGCGUCGUUCAGGCGAUGCUGCUAUCGUGACGUAUAAUCUAGUGGACGGUUCUUCAAAAACAACAAGUCAACCACCUAGGUAGCUUGCUAGCCAACGUAGCCGAAAGAUUCAAGCUGUUUUAACGCUUUCGGUGUAUAUUAGCUGCUGUGUUUUAGACACACUUCUAUCGUAUCUACUUGUUAACCUAUUUAAUUUAAUAUGACGUUAUUUUUUAUUAGUCAGAUAUAGUAGCUGGCUGGUUAAAUUAGCACUAGCUUAGUUGCUAAUGAUAGCUAGCUAGCUAAUAUCCCCGAAACAUGAGGUCACUAAGCUUCUCCCCUCCUGCUAAAUAAGAGGUCUGCUGGACGGAGAAAGAAACUCUGGGGCUGAACAUUGUAGUGAAAGAGGAGAAGGAAGAGGAGGAUGUCACAGUUAAAAAAUAAAUUGAGGGCGAGGCUGUUACAGUGAAAGAGGAAGAAGCGUUCACAGUGAAAGAGGAGGAUGAGAAAGAGGAUGCCGUUUUUGACGUGAAGAAGGAAGGGGAGAUUUCUGUCACAUUGAAAGAUGAAGAGGUGGAGGUAGGAGAUAUGAUUUACAUCAGACAGAGACGUGACUAUUGUGGAUCCUCUGGGGAGCCUCAACAACAUCAUGAAGCUGACGAGGCAGAGAAGAGUCCCUCCCGAUCAGAACACCUCAUGAAACACCAGAGGAGACCCACAGGGAAGAAAUCUCACUGCUGCUCUGACUGUGGGAAAGGUUGCAAAUCUUCAUCAGAACUUAAAAUACAUCAGCGAGUACACACAGGAGAGAAAUCUCACCACUGUUUUGAUUGUGGGAAGAAUUACUUAAGAUCAGAAUCACUAAAAGUACACUUGAGAAUUCACACUGGAGAGAAACCUUAUAGCUGUGAUCAAUGUGGGAAGAGUUUCUCACUCAAGCUGCCUUAUAGUACAUCUGAGAGCACACACCAGAGAGAAAACUUACCACUGCUCUGACUGCGGAAAGCGUUUUGUUAGUUCAACAGAUUUAAAAUCACACCAGAAAAUACACAUAGUAGAGAAACCUUUUAACUGUACUCAAUGUGGGAAGAGGUUUAAUCACUCAAGCUGGCUGAUAGUACAUCUGAGAGCACACACAGGAGUGAAACCUUAUAGCUGUGAUCAAUGUGGGAAGAGAUUUGUUACAUCUAGCCAUCUGACUAUACACCAGAGAACACACACAGGAGAGAAAUCUUAUAGCUGUAGUCAAUGUGGGAAGAGUUUCUCAGUCAAGCAGCCUGGUAUCACACCAGAGAACACACACAAGAGGGAAAUCUCAUAGCUGUGAUCAAUGUCACAAGAGAUACUCUGAUAAAAGAUCUCUGAUCAAACAUCAGAAAAUACAUACAUGAAGUAGUUGUUUCAUGAUAUCAAUGAAAUGUCACAAUGUAGAAUAUUUGAAUGAUGUCACAAUGUAGAAUGUUUUAACAUUGUAGUAGGAAUACAAAGGAUUUGAAUUUGUUAAAAGUCCAUAUUGAUACAGAAACACUAAACCAUGAUUUAGAUGUAUUAAGAACAAGUUGAUUGACAAAGUCAUGAAAAAUGGAAUAAACCACAUUUUGGCUCUGAUAAAAGAUAUGGCUCUGGGGUCAAAAUGAUCCAUGUCAGAACUAUGGUUCAAUGUAAAUAUGUAGUGGGUCUAAAGUUUGUUUUAAAUUAUCACUCAUUAAACACGAAUCAAUCAA
Salvelinus fontinalis (brook trout) is the source of this 1740-nucleotide long non-coding RNA. RefSeq lists it as uncharacterized. The transcript is spliced from 2 exons. NCBI's taxonomy places the organism in Eukaryota, Metazoa, Chordata, Actinopteri, Salmoniformes, Salmonidae. The record is from RefSeq and is a predicted model, not a curated record.